AACGAACGCUGGCGGCAGGCCUAACACAUGCAAGUCGAACGAGUAAGAGCCGUAGCAAUACGGAGUUCUGCUAGUGGCGCACGGGUGAGUAACGCGUGGGAACGUGCCUUGGAGUUCGGGAUAACAGUUGGAAACGACUGCUAAUACCGAAUAUUCCCUCAGGGGGAAAGAUUUAUCGCUCCAAGAUCGGCCCGCGUAAGAUUAGGUAGUUGGUGGGGUAAUGGCCUACCAAGCCUACGAUCUUUAGCUGGUCUGAGAGGACGACCAGCCACACUGGAACUGAGACACGGUCCAGACUCCUACGGGAGGCAGCAGUGGGGAAUAUUGGACAAUGGGCGAAAGCCUGAUCCAGCCAUGCCGCGUGAAUGAUGAAGGCCUUAGGGUUGUAAAAUUCUUUUGCAGGGGGUAAGAUAAUGACGGUACCCUGCGAAUAAGCUCCGGCUAACUUCGUGCCAGCAGCCGCGGU
This 466-nucleotide ribosomal RNA is filed under the name uncultured bacterium. Its description in RNAcentral is "bacterial SSU rRNA". It matches the Rfam family "Bacterial small subunit ribosomal RNA", at positions 29 to 521 of the family's 1533-position model. The record is from RNAcentral.